This 450-nucleotide ribosomal RNA is filed under the name uncultured bacterium. RNAcentral's name for it is "partial 16S ribosomal RNA". It matches the Rfam family "Bacterial small subunit ribosomal RNA", at positions 354 to 796 of the family's 1533-position model. The record is from RNAcentral.
GUGGGGAAUAUUGGACAAUGGGCGAAAGCCUGAUCCAGCCAUGCCGCGUGUGUGAAGAAGGUCUUCGGAUUGUAAAGCACUUUAAGUUGGGAGGAAGGGCAGUAAGUUAAUACCUUGCUGUUUUGACGUUACCGACAGAAUAAGCACCGGCUAACUUCGUGCCAGCAGCCGCGGUAAUACGAAGGGUGCAAGCGUUAAUCGGAAUUACUGGGCGUAAAGCGCGCGUAGGUGGUUUUGUAAGUUGGAGGUGAAAUCCCCGGGCUCAACCUGGGAACUGCCUCCAAAACUGCAUGACUAGAGUACGGUAGAGGGUAGUGGAAUUUCCUGUGUAGCGGUGAAAUGCGUAGAUAUAGGAAGGAACACCAGUGGCGAAGGCGACCACCUGGACUGAUACUGACACUGAGGUGCGAAAGCGUGGGGAGCAAACAGGAUUAGAUACCCGGGUAGUCC